This 253-nucleotide ribosomal RNA is filed under the name uncultured Gemmata sp. Its description in RNAcentral is "partial 16S ribosomal RNA". It matches the Rfam family "Bacterial small subunit ribosomal RNA", at positions 524 to 776 of the family's 1533-position model. Lineage: Bacteria; Pseudomonadati; Planctomycetota; Planctomycetia; Gemmatales; Gemmataceae. The record is from RNAcentral.
GACGAACCGUGCGAACGUUGUUCGGAUUCACUGGGCUUAAAGGGCGCGUAGGCGGGCAUCCAAGUCAGGGGUGAAAUCUUUCGGCCCAACCGGAAAAGUGCCUUUGAUACUGGGUGUCUCGAGUGAGGUAGGGGCAUGUGGAACUUCCGGUGGAGCGGUGAAAUGCGUAGAUAUCGGAAGGAACGCCGGUGGCGAAAGCGACGUGCUGGACCUCAACUGACGCUGAGGCGCGAAAGCUAGGGGAGCAAACGGG